CAGAAAAUAGUUUAUAAAAACAUUAACUUUGGAAGUUAAAAAUCAAAUCAUAUUUGUUUUCUGA
This 64-nucleotide transfer RNA is filed under the name Phascolosoma similis. RNAcentral describes it as "tRNA-Pro". It matches the Rfam family "tRNA". Rfam says of the family: Transfer RNA (tRNA) molecules are approximately 80 nucleotides in length. Lineage: Eukaryota; Metazoa; Annelida; Sipuncula; Phascolosomatiformes; Phascolosomatidae. The record is from RNAcentral.